AUAAAUCAAGCGGUGGUGAAAAAAUCAAAAGGAGGAAACAAGAAACAGAGUGACACAAAUCCCAAACGGCAGAGGAAAAAAAAACAGACAUGCCAAAGAUCGCUCGUAGAUGAAUUGGACACAAGUGAAGAUCCGUUGGCUUUAGUAACUAAUGUUCAGCAUGACCAAGUAAUUGGAACUCAAAAUAGCGUAGUUACACAGACCUUCGAAAAUUCACAGUCAU
Long non-coding RNA from Alnus glutinosa, 223 nucleotides. RefSeq lists it as uncharacterized. NCBI's taxonomy places the organism in Eukaryota, Viridiplantae, Streptophyta, Magnoliopsida, Fagales, Betulaceae. The record is from RefSeq and is a predicted model, not a curated record. The transcript is spliced from 3 exons.